RNAcentral lists this ribosomal RNA (665 nucleotides) under uncultured Vibrionaceae bacterium. Its description in RNAcentral is "bacterial SSU rRNA". It matches the Rfam family "Bacterial small subunit ribosomal RNA", at positions 28 to 671 of the family's 1533-position model. Lineage: Bacteria; Pseudomonadati; Pseudomonadota; Gammaproteobacteria; Vibrionales; Vibrionaceae. The record is from RNAcentral.
AUUGAACGCUGGCGGCAGGCCUAACACAUGCAAGUCGAGCGGAAACGACACUAACAAUCCUUCGGGUGCGUUAAUGGGCGUCGAGCGGCGGACGGGUGAGUAAUGCCUAGGAAAUUGCCUUGAUGUGGGGGAUAACCAUUGGAAACGAUGGCUAAUACCGCAUAAUGCCUACGGGCCAAAGAGGGGGAUCUUCGGACCUCUCGCGUCAAGAUAUGCCUAGGUGGGAUUAGCUAGUUGGUGAGGUAAUGGCUCACCAAGGCGACGAUCCCUAGCUGGUCUGAGAGGAUGAUCAGCCACACUGGAACUGAGACACGGUCCAGACUCCUACGGGAGGCAGCAGUGGGGAAUAUUGCACAAUGGGCGAAAGCCUGAUGCAGCCAUGCCGCGUGUAUGAAGAAGGCCUUCGGGUUGUAAAGUACUUUCAGUUGUGAGGGAGGGGGUGUAGUUAAUAGCUGCAUCUCUUGACGUUAGCAACAGAAGAAGCACCGGCUAACUCCGUGCCAGCAGCCGCGGUAAUACGGAGGGUGCGAGCGUUAAUCGGAAUUACUGGGCGUAAAGCGCAUGCAGGUGGUUCAUUAAGUCAGAUGUGAAAGCCCGGGGCUCAACCUCGGAACUGCAUUUGAAACUGGUGAACUAGAGUGCUGUAGGAGGGGGGUAGAAUUUCA